UUUAUCACAUUUUCUUGCCAUAUUUUUGCUCCUUUUAAUGUAUUUUUGCAACAUUUCUCCCAUUUUUGACACUUCUACAUCACAUUUUAAUGUCUUUUCUGCACAUUUUUCCUCUUUCUAGACAUGUUCAGCACUUAUAAACCCUUUCCACCACUUUUCCAUCUAAUGUCACAUAAGUUGACCCAUUAUUGUCACCUCUUUUUACCAUAUUUAAUGAUUAUUUUUUGCCAAUUUAUCCACAUUCACAUUUUUUCACGCCCAUUAUUUGCCAGUUUAAAAUAAUUGUUCCAAUAUUGACACUUUGAACCCUUUUACUUUAUUUCUGUGAUGAUCCCAGAGAAGCUGCUAUGAAUGUGUCUGUUAAUUAAUCUUUAACAUCAUCACAGGAGAAACGUCCUGGUGUCAUGUGAGAAGCUGUACUUUAGUCUCUAUUGGAGGAGACGCAACGACUCAAACACUCAAAGCAAAGCAGCUGAAAAGAAGAAGAAGAAAAAGUUUAGGUCAAAGAUGCUAAGCUGCUGGCUAACUAUCGCUGCCCUGCUGAUGCAUUCAGGGGCUGCAGCUGGGGGUCAGCCAACUGUGACCCUAGCUCCUCCCUACAGGGUCAAAGGUCAACCAGGGGUCGAACUGACCCUGAACUGUGGAGACGGAAACAACAGCAGAGGUGUGGUUAAGUUCUGGAACACUCCGUUUGGAGCCGUGCACACGGCGGUGAGCGUGCACGCUGCACACCUGGAGCCGGUCCUCCUGCAGCAGGACGGGAGCCUCCUGCUCCCCAACAUCAGCUCAGCGCACAGCGGUCUGUACUACUGUCUGCUGGAGGAGGGGGGGGCACGCACCCUCAGGCCGACCGUCCUCAACAUCGGUACCAGGACCAGGACCAGGACGUCCAGCGUCCCAGGUGUCCCUCAGAGUCACUAUAUAGCAGCCAUAGCGUCCUCAGUGCUCCUCAGCUUCAUGUUGGGCUUCAGCAGCGGAGCCAUGAGCAGGACUCACGUUCUCAGGUGUUUGAGCGCCGUCGCAAAGAGGAUGCGGUUACCACGACGACGGCGAAGUUACAGCGAUGAGCCGGACCGGGGCGUCGCCAUGGUAACCGUCCCCCCCUCAGAGACGAGCCCGAAUCCGCCCACAAAACCUCAGAGGAGCUUCAGACACCGGUCAACAGACCACGCAGUCGAGGAAAGGCAAACUGCUGCGUACCUGGAGUCAUGUGACCACGUAAAGAAUGAGGAGAGGAAGGACGCAGGAAAAGAGGAAGAGGAAGAGAGAAAGGAGGAAGAGAGCCGAACUGAGGAGGAGGUAGACGAAAACCAGGAAGAAGGCCUAACUGAGGAAGAGGAAGCAGAAGAGGACAGGAAGCAGGAAGAGAGUCAAACUGAGGAAGAGAAAGAGGAGGAAGACAGGAAGCAGGAAGAGAGUCAAACUGAGGAAGAGAAAGAGGAGGAAGACAGGAAGCAGGAAGAGAGUCAAACUGAGGAAGAGAAAGAGGAAGACAGGAAGCAGGAAGAGAGUCAAACUGAUGAAGAAAAAGAGGAGGAAGACAGGAAGCAGGAAGAGAGUCAAACUGAGGAAGAGAAAGAGGAAGACAGGAAGCAGGAAAAGAGCCAAACUGAGGAGGAAGCGGCGAAAAGAAACAGGAAGGAUGAGGAGGAAGGAAACGGAAAGGGAGAGGAAGAGGAGGAAGGAGAAGAGGAAAAGGACACAAACUCUUCCUCAAAAACAGAAACCUCAGAAGAAGAACCUUCGGGGUUUGAGGCCACGCCCACCGGCCGCCGCGUCAUCCGUCUGUAUCAGUACGAUGAGGACGGACGUCGUUACGCUCACCUGCCUGACCCCGCCCCCUCUGACCCCGCCCCCAGGCUCAAACAGCGCUCUCUCUCUCUGACGCGUCUCAACGCCAUCAUGGCCACCGCCUCUUCCUCUCCAUUGGACAGGAAACAGGAAGUAGAGCCAAGGCCGCACUUCCACAUGGAGAUCUGACACUAAACAUUAUUUAUUAUUGUUAGUUGUUUGUAUUCAUUUAAUAACGAAGUCCAUUAAUUCAUGUCAUUAACUAUAAAACCUAUGUCUGUAAUAAAUAUAAUUAGGGUAAUUAAUUAAAAUAUUAA
Gouania willdenowi (blunt-snouted clingfish) is the source of this 2108-nucleotide long non-coding RNA. The record is from Ensembl. Lineage: Eukaryota; Metazoa; Chordata; Actinopteri; Blenniiformes; Gobiesocidae.